AACAGGUUGAUAUUCCUGUACCACCUAUAAUCGUUUUAAUCGAUGGGGGGACGCAGUAGGAUAGGCGAAGCGUGCGAUUGGAUUGCACGUCUAAGCAGUAAGGCUGAGUAUUAGGCAAAUCCGGUACUCAUUAAGGCUGAGCUGUGAUGGGGAGAAGACAUUGUGUCUUCGAGUCGUUGAUUUCACACUGCCGAGAAAAGCCUCUAGAUAGAAAAUAGGUGCCCGUACCGCAAACCGACACAGGUAGUCAAGAUGAGAAUUCUAAGGUGAGCGAGCGAACUCUCGUUAAGGAACUCGGCAAAAUGACCCCGUAACUUCGGGAGAAGGGGUGCUCUUUAGGGUUAACGCCCAGAAGAGCCGCAGUGAAUAGGCCCAAGCGACUGUUUAUCAAAAACACAGGUCUCUGCUAAACCGUAAGGUGAUGUAUAGGGGCUGACGCCUGCCCGGUGCUGGAAGGUUAAGAGGAGUGGUUAGCUUCUGCGAAGCUACGAAUCGAAGCCCCAGUAAACGGCGGCCGUAACUAUAACGGUCCUAAGGUAGCGAAAUUCCUUGUCGGGUAAGUUCCGACCCGCACGAAAGGCGUAACGAUUUGGGCACUGUCUCAACGAGAGACUCGGUGAAAUCAUAGUACCUGUGAAGAUGCAGGUUACCCGCGACAGGACGGAAAGACCCCGUGGAGCUUUACUGUAGCCUGAUAUUGAAAUUCGGCACAGCUUGUACAGGAUAGGUAGGAGCCUUUGAAACGUGAGCGCUAGCUUACGUGGAGGCGCUGGUGGGAUACUACCCUAGCUGUGUUGGCUUUCUAACCCGCACCACUUAUCGUGGUGGGAGACAGUGUCAGGCGGGCAGUUUGACUGGGGCGGUCGCCUCCUAAAAGGUAACGGAGGCGCUCAAAGGUUCCCUCAGAAUGGUUGGAAAUCAUUCAUAGAGUGUAAAGGCAUAAGGGAGCUUGACUGCGAGACCUACAAGUCGAGCAGGGUCGAAAGACGGACUUAGUGAUCCGGUGGUUCCGCAUGGAAGGGCCAUCGCUCAACGGAUAAAAGCUACCCCGGGGAUAACAGGCUUAUCUCCCCCAAGAGUUCACAUCGACGGGGAGGUUUGGCACCUCGAUGUCGGCUCAUCGCAUCCUGGGGCUGUAGUCGGUCCCAAGGGUUGGGCUGUUCGCCCAUUAAAGCGGUACGCGAGCUGGGUUCAGAACGUCGUGAGACAGUUCGGUCCCUAUCCGUCGUGGGCGUAGGAAAUUUGAGAGGAGCUGUCCUUAGUACGAGAGGACCGGGAUGGACAUACCUCUGGUGUACCAGUUGUCGUGCCAACGGCAUAGCUGGGUAGCUAUGUGUGGACGGGAUAAGUGCUGAAAGCAUCUAAGCAUGAAGCCCCCCUCAAGAUGAGAUUUCCCAACUUCGGUUAUAAGAUCCCUCAAAGAUGAUGAGGUUAAUAGGUUCGAGGUGGAAGCAUGGUGACAUGUGGAGCUGACGAAUACUAA
This 1483-nucleotide ribosomal RNA is filed under the name Staphylococcus aureus. Its description in RNAcentral is "partial 23S ribosomal RNA". It matches the Rfam family "Bacterial large subunit ribosomal RNA", at positions 1424 to 2904 of the family's 2925-position model. Lineage: Bacteria; Bacillati; Bacillota; Bacilli; Caryophanales; Staphylococcaceae. The record is from RNAcentral.